RNAcentral lists this small nuclear RNA (19 nucleotides) under Arabidopsis thaliana (thale cress). RNAcentral's name for it is "snRNA_18104". The record is from RNAcentral. Lineage: Eukaryota; Viridiplantae; Streptophyta; Magnoliopsida; Brassicales; Brassicaceae.
UUCUUCUUCUUCUUCCAGA